Molecule: ribosomal RNA, 465 nt
Filed under: uncultured bacterium
Lineage: Bacteria
Description: partial 16S ribosomal RNA
Rfam family: Bacterial small subunit ribosomal RNA
Source: RNAcentral
CCUACGGGUGACAGCAGUAGGGAAUCUUCCACAAUGGGCGAAAGCCUGAUGGAGCAACGCCGCGUGGGUGAAGAAGGUCUUCUGAUCGUAAAACCCUGUUGUUAGAGAAGAAAGUUCGUGUGAGUAACUGUUCACGUUUCGACGGUAUCUAACCAGACAGCCACGGCUAACUACGUGCCAGCAGCCGCGGGAAUACGUAGGUGGCAAGCGUUAUCCGGAGUUAUUGGGCGUAAAGGGAACGCAGGCGGGAGAUUAAGUCUGAUGGGAAAGCCUUCGGCUUAACCGGAGUAGUGCAUUGGAAACUGGGAGACUUGAGUGCAGUAGAGGAGGGUGGAACUCCAUGUGUAGCGGUGAAAUGCGUAGAUAUAUGGAAGAACACCAGUGGCGAAGGCGGCUCGCUGGGCUGUAACUGACGCUGAGGUUCGAAAGCGUGGGGAGCAAACAGGAUUAGAUACCCCUGUAGUC